UGCCAAGCAGCCGCGGUAAUUCCAGCUCCAAUAGCGUAUAUUAAAGUUGUUGCGGUAAAAAAGCUCGUAGUUGGAUUUCUGUUGAGAGCGACCGGUCCAUACCAUGUAUGCGUAUCUGGCUUGCUCUCGGCAUCCUCUCGAUGGACGUUGCUGCGCUUGAUUGCGUGGCGCGGACCUCGGGACUUUUACUUUGAGGAAAUUAGAGUGUUCACGGCAGGCUUUCGCCAGAAUACAUUAGCAUGGAAUAAUACUAUAGGAUCUCGGUUCUAUUUUGUUGGUUUCUAGAAUUGAGAUAAUGAUUAAUAGGGACAAUUGGGGGCAUUCGUAUCAACACGUCAGAGGUGGAAUUCUUGGAUUGUGUUGCGACGAACUACUGCGAAAGCAUUUGCCAAGGAUGUUUUCAUUGAUCAAGAACGAAAGUAAGGGGAUCGAAGACGAUUAGAUACCGUCGUAGUCUUUACCAUAAACUAUGCCGACUAGAGAUGGGACAUCGUUCAUUUACGACUUGUUCCGCACCUUAUGAGAUAUCAAAGUUUUUGGGUUCCGGGGGGAGUAUGGUCGCAAGAUUGAAACUUAAAGGAAUUGACGGAAGGGCACCACCAGGAGUGGAGCCUGCGGCUUAAUUUGACUCAACACGGGGAAACUCACCAGGUCCAGACAUAAUAAGGAUUGACAGAUUGAUAGCUCUUUCUUGAUUUUAUGGGUGGUGGUGCAUGGCCGUUCUUAGUUCGUGGAGUGAUUUGUCUGCUUAAUUGCGUUAACGAACGAGACCUUAACCUGCUAAAUAGGAGCACCUAUCUUCGGAUAAGUGUUUUUCUUCUUAGAGGGACUUUAUGCGUUUCAGCAUGAGGAAGUUUGAGGCUAAAACAGGUCUGUGAUGCCC
RNAcentral lists this ribosomal RNA (883 nucleotides) under uncultured eukaryote. Its description in RNAcentral is "SSU rRNA". It matches the Rfam family "Eukaryotic small subunit ribosomal RNA", at positions 565 to 1472 of the family's 1831-position model. The record is from RNAcentral.